This is a non-coding RNA of Zea mays, 109 nucleotides long. Lineage: Eukaryota; Viridiplantae; Streptophyta; Magnoliopsida; Poales; Poaceae. The record is from Rfam.
ACUCUAGUAUUGACUCUAAUCCUCAUGUGUUGAGGUGGAUUGAUGUGUAAAUUAGUUUAUGUUACACCUCAAUCCACCUCAAUACAUGUGGAUUUUGGUCAAUACUAGA